AACGAACGCUGGCGGCAUGCCUAACACAUGCAAGUCGAACGCUCGCAAGAGAUUGGCGCACGGGUGAGUAACACGUGGGAAUCUGCCUAUCGGUUCGGAAUAACGUUUGGAAACGAACGCUAACACCGGAUACGUCCUUCGGGAGAAAGUUUACGCCGAUAGAGGAGCCCGCGUCCGAUUAGGUAGUUGGUGGGGUAAAGGCCUACCAAGCCGACGAUCGGUAGCUGGCCUGAGAGGAUGAUCAGCCACACUGGGACUGAGACACGGCCCAGACUCCUACGGGAGGCAGCAGUGGGGAAUAUUGGACAAUGGGCGCAAGCCUGAUCCAGCAAUGCCGCGUGAGUGAUGAAGGCCUUAGGGUUGUAAAGCUCUUUCGCACGUGACGAUGAUGACGGUAACGUGAGAAGAAGCCCCGGCUAACUUCGUGCCAGCCGCCGCGGUAA
Molecule: ribosomal RNA, 443 nt
Filed under: uncultured bacterium
Lineage: Bacteria
Description: partial 16S ribosomal RNA
Rfam family: Bacterial small subunit ribosomal RNA
Source: RNAcentral